GAUGAACGCUGGCGGCGUGCCUAAUACAUGCAAGUCGAGCGAACAGACGAGGAGCUUACUCCUCUGACGUUAGCGGCGGACGGGUGAGUAACACGUGGAUAACCUACCUAUAAGACUGGGAUAACUUCGGGAAACCGGAGCUAAUACCGGAUAACAUGUUGAACCGCAUGGUUCAACAGUGAAAGACGGUCUUGCUGUCGCUUAUAGAUGGAUCCGCGUCGCAUUAGCUAGUUGGUAAGGUAACGGCUUACCAAGGCAACGAUGCGUAGCCGACCUGAGAGGGUGAUCGGCCACACUGGAACUGAGACACGGUCCAGACUCCUACGGGAGGCAGCAGUAGGGAAUCUUCCGCAAUGGGCGAAAGCCUGACGGAGCAACGCCGCGUGAGUGAAGAAGGUCUUCGGAUCGUAAAACUCUGUUAUUAGGGAAGAACAAAUGUGUAAGUAACUAUGCACGUCUUGACGGUACCUAAUCAGAAAGCCACGGCUAACUACGUG
RNAcentral lists this ribosomal RNA (497 nucleotides) under uncultured bacterium. RNAcentral describes it as "partial 16S ribosomal RNA". It matches the Rfam family "Bacterial small subunit ribosomal RNA", at positions 28 to 507 of the family's 1533-position model. The record is from RNAcentral.